This 740-nucleotide ribosomal RNA is filed under the name uncultured bacterium. RNAcentral describes it as "bacterial SSU rRNA". It matches the Rfam family "Bacterial small subunit ribosomal RNA", at positions 8 to 796 of the family's 1533-position model. The record is from RNAcentral.
AGAGUUUGAUCAUGGCUCAGAGCGAACGCUGGCGGCAGGCCUAACACAUGCAAGUCGAACGGCUCUUCGGAGCAGUGGCGGACGGGUGAGUAACGCGUGGGAACGUGCCCUUUGGUUCGGAACAACACAGGGAAACUUGUGCUAAUACCGGAUGUGCCCUUCGGGGGAAAGAUUUAUCGCCAUUGGAGCGGCCCGCGUUGGAUUAGGUAGUUGGUGGGGUAAUGGCCCACCAAGCCGACGAUCCAUAGCUGGUCUGAGAGGAUGAUCAGCCACACUGGGACUGAGACACGGCCCAGACUCCUACGGGAGGCAGCAGUGGGGAAUCUUGCGCAAUGGGCGAAAGCCUGACGCAGCCAUGCCGCGUGAAUGAUGAAGGUCUUAGGAUUGUAAAAUUCUUUCACCGGGGAAGAUAAUGACGGUACCCGGAGAAGAAGCCCCGGCUAACUUCGUGCCAGCAGCCGCGGUAAUACGAAGGGGGCUAGCGUUGCUCGGAAUUACUGGGCGUAAAGGGCGCGUAGGCGGACAGUUAAGUCAGAGGUGAAAGCCCAGGGCUCAACCUUGGAAUUGCCUUUGAUACUGGCUGUCUUGAGUUCGGGAGAGGUGAGUGGAAUGCCGAGUGUAGAGGUGAAAUUCGUAGAUAUUCGGCGGAACACCAGUGGCGAAGGCGACUCACUGGCCCGAUACUGACGCUGAGGCGCGAAAGCGUGGGGAGCAAACAGGAUUAGAUACCCUGGUAGUCC